UCCGAGUUGACCCCGGCAGUCUCCCGCAAGUCCCCAACCCGCCGAAACGGUUGCUGGCAAUACAGGACGAGGGUUGCGCUCGUUGCGGGACUUAACCCAACAUCUCACGACACGAGCUGACGACAACCAUGCACCACCUGUGCACGACCCCAAAGGAAGCACCGUCUCCGGCGCGGCACCGUGCAUGUCAAGCCCUGGUAAGGUUCUUCGCGUUGCAUCGAAUUAAGCCGCAUGCUCCGCCGCUUGUGCGGGCCCCCGUCAAUUCCUUUGAGUUUUAGCCUUGCGGCCGUACUCCCCAGGCGGGGCGCUUAAUGCGUUAGCUCCGGCACGGAACCCGUGGAAACAGGCCCCACACCUAGCGCCCAACGUUUACAGCGUGGACUAC
This 385-nucleotide unclassified non-coding RNA is filed under the name uncultured Actinomycetes bacterium. Its description in RNAcentral is "uncultured actinobacterium contains 16S-23S intergenic spacer region". The record is from RNAcentral. Lineage: Bacteria; Bacillati; Actinomycetota; Actinomycetes.